CGCGCAGGCGGCCGAGUAAGUCGAAUGUGAAAGCCCCCGGCUCAACUGGGGAAGGUCAUUCGAUACUGUUCGGCUCGAAGAUAGGAGAGGGAAGCGGAAUUUCAGGUGUAGUGGUGAAAUGCGUAGAUAUCUGAAGGAACACCAGUGGCGAAGGCGGCUUUCUGGCCUAUUCUUGACGCUGAGGCGCGAAAGCUAGGGGAGCAACG
RNAcentral lists this ribosomal RNA (206 nucleotides) under uncultured bacterium. Its description in RNAcentral is "partial 16S ribosomal RNA". It matches the Rfam family "Bacterial small subunit ribosomal RNA", at positions 568 to 773 of the family's 1533-position model. The record is from RNAcentral.